Molecule: long non-coding RNA, 31703 nt
Filed under: Ananas comosus (pineapple)
Lineage: Eukaryota; Viridiplantae; Streptophyta; Magnoliopsida; Poales; Bromeliaceae
Description: long non-coding RNA (ACOM_LNC042264)
Source: RNAcentral
GUUGACAUGAAGGGAAAGGAAGAAUGUACAUCAUCUUCUGGCCAAAUGAAGGCAUCAAAAUCCAGUAGCAGCCAAUCAUAUCUCUUUGCCAAAAUACAACACAUUGUAAUGAUAUUCAUAUAUCUCUGAACAUCCUAGCUACAAUAGAAGUUUCUUCAAGAACAAAAGGAAAUAAAUUGACGAAACAACGACAAUUCACACGAGGACCUCAUGUUACGUUCUUUCAACGAUCAAAUAUGAGAGAUAUCAAGUGAUCAACAACCUUGAACAAGUAGCGUCAGUUGCUGUCCAACAAACCAGUAUUAACAUUCAAAUCAUUCUAACCAUCUUAAUUAUGCCAAAACUUUCAGGAAUUUGCUUCCAACCUUUUAAGAAGCAUAAAAGAUACACAAAGAACAUGUCACGCCCCGGGACCCAGCGGGAGCCCGCCCGGCGCGUGCCCAGACCCGCCAUGCGUCUAAAACGCAUAAGGCGUCUAACAACAAUAAUAAUAAAAGCGAUAAUAAAAGAUAUCUAGGAGUAUCAGAGCAUAAUAAAAGUCUAAAUGCUACAACAAGGGAUAAAGUUAAAAUUGUAAAUCCACUAAAUAAAACAUAAGGUAAAUACCACAGGAAUCCCAUAACAAGUGCUAAAAGGAGUACAAGGUGGUCUCUAUACAUGGAUACAGAAACUCUCACUCUCUCUCAACUACAAAAAGAAGAGUAACCACCUAGGCAAAGUGCCGCUCCCCUUUCCGCGAUCCCCUUUCCGCGAUCCCGUGCCUCCGCCGGUGUCGAAGGCUCUAAAAAGUAAACCAUAAAACGAGGGCAUGAGAACUAUUAAAAAUAGUUUCCAGUGGGCAAUUACUGACUUCAGUGCAUGCACCACAAGGCCCAAAGCUGCAAAAGAUAUCAGUGACUAUAAUAGUAGAAAGGCGAAAGGUAAGUAAAAAUGUAACUACUACAACAUGAUAUCUCUACUUAGCAUAAAUAGCAUAAGUAUGAAACAACUAUGCAUGAAGUAAACGUCUCCAACUAUCAUGAUGUUCACAAUGUGAAAAAGUAAAGUUCCGUUGUUUACUAUUCUAGUCAAUGUCCAAGUAGUACACUAAGUCAUCCUCUGUCCAUAUGUCAUAAUGGAUACAUAAAGUCAAAUCUGAAGAGACCCACCCGAAGGCUGUCUAUGGCCCUGAGACCCACCCGUAGGCUGUCUGGCCGGUGCCGAGCCUAAUGGCCCCGUGGUAGUCAUCAUCCCCACCCUAGGAAUGAGCCUGUCCCACGGCAAUCCACUUCGGCGCCCAAUCCCGCACGGCGAACAUGAAUCGCGAUGGCUAUCUCCGGAGUGCCGGCUUGUAGGGAGCGACCCUCACAAGCAUGUGCGAAUGAGCACAAUGGCAAGUAAUCAAACGAUCAGUCGCAAGUACCAAAUUCUCAUGUUCAGUAACAUGGUAUAUAGCAAAUGUCCUCGUGGCCAAGUCACUAUUUCAUCAUAUCUCAAAUAUGGAAUAUAGUUGAUGUCAAUGUGGCCUAUUAUCAAGUCUCUAUAUUGCAGUUUAAUAAUUCUCUAGUCCAAGUGCCUCUUUAUGACACUAUGGCUCAUUUUGUCCCAACAUGGAUACUAAGUUCAAGAACUUAUAGUUCUAGUCAAAAUCGAAGCAUGAAUCUUGAUUUCCUAUCAUCUCGUGGAAUAUUCGUCGCAUGCAUAUUAACAAAGCACAUUGUCUCUCUCUCUCUACUACAUAGAGUAAAGUUUCUUGAUACACAACAUGUGAGUUCUAAGCAUUCAAAAACUCUCAUAAAUGCUACUAAACAUGAUUAUGCAUGAAUUUAAGGAGCAUGAAAGCAUUUAACCACUUGGGAGGAAUUUCCUCCAAUUUCAAGGAAGCCAAACCCACCGAUGACAACGAAACUCCUCGUGCGCUCCAACGAGGGUGUCCUCAAGUCUCCUAGUACCCUAAAGGUAUAGAAACAUGGGUCAUCUAACCGAAAUGAACGACACUAAGCUCAAUCUUUAAGCUUCUCAAGCUAGGGUUAGGAAAAACUCACCGAUUGCGAAGGAAGCUCUCUCGAUCUCCAAAUGGGAGUUAGAGUCCUUCCAAUCUAACCUAAACAAAGGUUCUAAACCCAUCAAUUUGAUACAAAAGCCCUCAAAACGAAAAUCCCCAAAUCUAACCCUAAAAUGCCAAAUCUAGGGUUUGAUCUAGUAGAAUCCAACAAAAUCCGAAUCUAGAGGAGAGAAAUUGCUACUAACCUCUUAGAAGCUCCAAACCAAGCUCCAAAGUCCUCUAGGGUUGAAGGUUGAUCUCCAAAGAAGCCCCAACCAAGAUCUCAAGCUUCUCCAAUGGUGGCAAACCCACAAAAGCAAGAAAGAGAGGAGGAAAGAGAUCAAAACCCACAAGAAAACCAUCAAAAAUGGAGAAGAAUCCAAAAGAGGAAGUUCUCACCUUGUCUCCUCAGGUUUAGGGCUCAAAGGAGCUCUCAAAGGGGCUGGGGUUGUUUAUAAAGAGGUUGCAACAAUUGCAAAAACACCCCUCCACGAAAACAGCCCACUCUGCACUGUGUACCGGUACACGGGUUUGUGUACCGGUACACCACCCACGAAAAGCCAAACCCGAGCCUCGGGUUUGCUGGGAAAAUGGUCUGUGUACCGGUACACAACCACGUACCGGUACAGCCAUCAACCCCGUACCGGUACAGCAAGCGAACCCGUACCGGUACGCGGCCUGCUGAAGGCUACCCGAGAGCUGACCAAAAAUCUUACUUUUUGGAUUUUGGUACACAGCUUUAAACCACAAUUCUCGGGACUCGAACCAUAGGUCGGAACACUGUCAACGACAUACCAGAAAGUCUGGAAAAGCUCGACACACAAAUCAAACACUCGAACCUCGCAAUUUGCAAAGGUCCAGUGUGUUACAGGAGUGCACUGCUCGGGGGAGCGACCACCAACGAGCUCAAAGACUGGUGUGAGUAUGAUCCAACCCUCUCCACUGAGGGUACCCUAUCCACUAGGGCCAACAUAUCUCGACAACUCGACCAUCUCUCUUGGUUCAAGUACAAAUACCACACUAUGCUAGGUUCAUAUACCCAUGACACUAUAUCCAUAUACCACUCAUCUAGGUUAUCAUUCAUAUUAUAUAAUGCCACUCGUCAUGUUGUUUACGUUAACUAGAUGCCACUCGUCUUUGUUAUCAACAUAGCCUCAAGUUCAUCAUGUAUUUGCUAUUUAACAUAACCUGCAAUAUAUCAACCUGCAUAGUUAACGCAAUCAUAUAGGAACUAUCUCAUGCAUUCAUUUAGUAUAACCUUCAUACCUUUCUCUAGCAUAGCAUUCAUGCAUCAUAUCAUCAUGUAUUAUAUCAUUAUGUAUACCCAAGCCAAUAUGCAUAUGUUAAUCAACAUAGUCCACAAAUACAUUAAUAUGCAUAUGUUCCAAUUUGCAUAAUAUAUCCUAUGCAUUCAUACAGCAUCAUUUCAUGCAUCUCUCUAACAUUUAGUUCAUGCUUUCAUCUAACAUUCAACAUACUAGUUUGUCAUCUUAUGCAUUCGCCUAGCAUUCAUGAUAUGUCAUCAACAAGCAUGUUUUUAUAUUGACUACAUGCAUCUAUCUAGCAUUUAUAUGCAUCAAUACGAAAUCAUGUUCUCUUAGACAUAAGGGCGACCUAGUCGCUUCGGUAAGCACAACCCACCUGCUAUUGCAUUCCGAUUGCUUGUCGACACUUGCAAUCGGCCNACUGAAAUUUGGCUAAGUCCUAAAUAUGCUGGAAUUCUGGACCUACGGGGACCGGUCCCUCAAGUCCAAGGACCGGUCCCUUAUACAAAAAAUGGCCCGCGCGGGCUGUGCACAAAAACACAAAGUUGAGGGGCUUUUUGGCAAUUCUGCCACAUGAGGAGUUAAAUGGAGGGACUUAGGCCUAUUUCCUCUCACUCCCUCACACUUCCACCCUAAAAGAAUACCCUCUCUCUCUCUAGAAGCUCUUCUUCUCUCUCUAGAAGUGGAAUCAAGAUGAGGAUAAGGUAGAGAUUGGAGCUUGAAGGAGGAUCACCAUUGUUGUCUUCUUCCUUAGCUUGGAGAAGGAGCUUAGUAGAGGUAAGCUCUUUGCCUUCUCAUGGUAGAAUGCUUGGAUUAGGGUUUUAUACUCUAGAAAUGGAACUUAAUGAUGCUCUAGAAGUAAUUAAUCUCAUUUAUUGCUUGGGAUAAUGCUUGUAUGAAGCUAAUUGCAAUAGUGAGGUUUUACGGCAUCCAAAAAGAGUGCUUUUUCUCAUGAGUAGUUUUGAUCGCAAUUGACCAUCCGUAAACCUAAUUGGUAGGUAAACGAACGCGUUGGCGAAGUCGGUUUGAGUAUUCGUCGACCCUAUACGAAGAUAUUGAAGAAAUGGAUGUUCGGAGCUUCGUUUCCGCUUGGAGGGCCGAGGCGACGUCCAAAAAUUAUGAAAAUGGAUUUGGAGCACCGUGCGGCAAACCGUAGACCUAUAAUUUUCGGAACUGCGAAGCGGCGUACGGUUGGUGCGCAACUACAAGAUCGGGCCGUGUCGGAUACGGGUGCCGCGGGAGGCCGAUUGCAAGUGACUAAAAGCAAUCGUAGAGUGAAUCGAGGUGGGUUGUGCUCACCGAGGCGACUAGGUCGCCCUUAUGUCGAAGAGAAACGUGGUUUCAUGUUGAUGCAUGUAAAUGCUAGAUGAUGCAUGCAGUAAUACUAAAUAAUGCAUGUUAGCAUAUUGUAAAGAAUGCAUGUUAAUGACAUAUUGUAAAUAUGCUAGUUAAUACAUGUAUGAUGACAUGAUGAGAAAAUGCUAGAUUAUAUGCAUGUUAACACAUUAUGAAUAUGUUCUAAUUGUUAAAUGCAAGCUCUAGAUAGUAAAUGUAUGAUAGCAUUAUGAGAUCAUGUGAGACAGACAUGAAUGUUAACAUGUUGUAGAUCAUGUUAGAUAAGAUGCAUAUUGGCAUUGUGAGCAUGAUGAUAUAUAUAUGCUUAGUGGGAUAAAUGCUAGGAGCAUUUUGGAGCUAUGAGAUCAUGUUAGAAAGAAUAUGCAUGUUGGCAUCAUAUAAUGCAUGCUAGAUAAAAUGUGGAUAUCUAUUGAACUCGAUGUGGACAAGUAGGAUGUCGAAUAGAUCGAGUUGCACUUAACCUAGUGUAUUAAACAUAGGUUGAACAUGAAUGACAAUGAACCUAGUGUUAUUAAACAUAGGUCGAGUGGCAUCUAACCUAGUGUUAAAGAACAUAGGUUGAGAAUAAACCUAGAGUUAACUAAAUCUAGGUGUGUGGCAUUAACCUAGUGUCGUGAACAUAGGUUAUGGAUUGAACCUAGAGUUAAAGUAAACCUAGGUUAUGUGAUAGAGACGUUGAGCCUAGAGUCAAUUGGACCUAGGGUGAAAAGGACGUUGGACCUAGAUAGGUCAAUGCUAUAGGGUUUGAAACCAACCCUUGAGUUAUGAAAUGGAUUCCGGAAUCCCUAGUGAUGUGGCCGCACAUGGAGCGGUGAAAAUUGUGAUAAAAGAGAUGGCAAGUGAAUCAUAACUGCAGGUAUGUAUGGUUCUCCUCGCCUGGCAGUGAUUCAACGGGUAUGUGUGGUUCUCCUCGCCCGGGAUGCCAUGAGAAUAAGCUGGAAUUGGGUAUGUGUGGUUCUCCUCGCCCAUUAGCUUAUCGGAUGAUGCCGCCUAGGUUGACUUGAACCAUUGUUGGGUGAGAGCGAUGUGGUCGCUGCCAGAUGACUAAGUUAUGACUUGAACCAUUGUUGGGUGAGGUGCGAUGAGUUCGCCGCCAGAUGGCUAAGUCAUGACUUGAGUUGUUGUUGGGUGAGAGCGAUGAGUUCGCCGCCAGAUGGUUAAGUCAGAUGCAGCCAGGCUGAGGUGCAGCCAGUGCGCGGACUAUCCGCGGAUGAUUGACUCGAGGCCGAGUCGGGUGAUUAGCUUGAUUAGGUUAAUGGGAACCUUAUAAGCUAGUGAUCAAGGCAAGAACCUGAGGUAAUAGAGACCUUAGAAGCAAGUUGAACUUGAGUUGAGAACGUAAGGUAAUGGAAACCUUACAAUUGAAUGAAAUGACCUAAAGUAGCAAAGUAAAUGUAGAAUUAACAUAUCUACUAGUUGUUUAUGCAGUUGCAUAGUUGCAUAAUGUUCAUAUUGCAUUUGCGAGGCAAGGUAUGGUUUUAUUAAUUGCAUAGUCAAAUAUCUAUCUAUCUAUUUAUUAAACUAACCUGCAGUUGCCUCCUUGGACCUAUUGGUCGAGCUCCUCCCUUGGGUGGCCGUACCCACUGGAAACCAUGGAGUUGGUUCUCACCCCACGUUGUUUUGGGGUGUUACAGGUUCGCACGUGAGCGGCGCGGCGGCGCGAGGCAAGGGCGUAGCUCCAUAGAUAGCGCCCUACCCCAGAGACCAGAAAUAGCGGUACCCCGAGUCGGCAUAGCCUAGGGGUAGAGGGAAAAGAAAAAGAGUAAACUUGUAUUAAUAUUGCGAUCAUUGAUUGUAUUUGGAAGAAAAUGUAAUGUAAUAAUGCUAAUGUGAUGUAAAAAUGAAUCUAAUGAAUGCUUGUAAUAACAUAGNUUUCUUGCAUAGUUGCAACCUAGGGCUCCAGAAUGCAAUUUUUGCUAAUAGAUGGGUUUGAUCUAAAUCGAACAUAUAUAAACCUAAUUGCUAGGUAACGAAACGCGUUGGCGAAGACGGAUCGGCAAUCUGACGAGCCGUUACAAAGUUAUUAAAGAAACGGACGUUUAGGCUUCGUUUCCGCCUGGAGGGCCGAGGCGACGUCGUAAAAUCAUGAAAACGGAUUUGAAGUACCGUGGCACAUAACCGAAGACCUUUAAUUUUCGGAUCGCAAAUCGGAGAUCGUUUGGGUGAUUGCGCGAGAGUUCGAGCCAAACCGGGUCGCGGGUGUCGCGUGCGGCCGAUUGCAAGUGACUACAAGCAAUCGGAGAGUAAGUUAAGGUGGGUUGUGCUUACCGAAGCGACUAGGUCGCCCUUUAUGUCUAAGAGAAAUGUAAAUUCAUAUUGAUGCAUAUAAAUGGUAGAUGGAUGCAAGAGUUAAAUGCUAGGCGAAUGCAUGUUAAUUGCUAUGCUACGACUACCAUAGAAUGCAUGAUGAACAUAUUAUAGGAAUGCUAAAUAAUGCAUGUGAGCACAUUGUAAAGAAUGCAUAUUAAUGACAUAAUGUAAAUAUGCUAGUUAAUACAUGUAUGAUGACAUGAUGAGAAAAUGCUAGAUUACAUGCAUAUUAACAUGUUGUAGAUCAUGUGAGAAAGAUUAUGCAUGUUGGCAUCAAAUAAUGCGCAUGCUAGAUAAAAUGUUGAUAGUUAUGGAACUCGACAUGGACAAUUAGGAUGUCAAAUAGAUCGAGUGGCACUUAACCUAGUGUAUAAAACAUAGGUUGGACAUGAAUGACAAUGAACCUAGUGUUAUUGAACAUAGGUCGAGUGGCAUCUAACCUAGUGUUAAAGAACAUAGGUUAUGGAUUGAACCUAGAGUUAAGUAAACCUAGGUUAUGUGAUAGAGACGUUGAACCUAGAGUCAGUUGGACCUAGGAUGAAAAGGACGUUGGACCUAGAUAGGUCAAUGCUAUAGGGUUUGAAACCAACCAUUGAGUUAUGAAAUGGAUUCCGGAAUCCCUAGUGAUAUGGCCGCACAUGGAGCGGUAGAAAUUGUGAUCAAAGAGAUGGCAAGCGAAUCAUAACUGCAGGUAUGUGUGGUUCUCCUUGCCUUGCAGUGAUUCAACGGGUAUGUGUGGUUCUCCUCGCCCGAGAUGCCAUGAGAAUAAGCUGGAAUUGGGUAUGUGUGGUUCUCCUCGCCCAUUAGCUUACUGGAUGAUGCCGCCUAGGUUGACUUGAACCAUUGUUGGGUGAGAGCGAUGUGGUCGCUGCCAGAUGACUAAGUUAUGACUCGAACCAUUGUUGGGUGAGGUGCGAUGAGUUCGCCGCCAGAUGGCUACGUCAUGACUUGAGUUGUUGUUGGGUGAGAGCGAUGAGUUCGCCGCCAGAUGGUUAAGUCAGAUCUGCGGUAGGCUGCGACGGCAGCCAGGCUGAGGUGCAGCCAGUGCGCGGACUAUCCGCGGAUGAUUGACUCGAGGCCGAGUCGGGUGGUUAGCUUGAUUAGGCUAAUAGGAACCUUAUAAGCUAGUGAUCGAGGUAAGAACCUGAGGUAAUAGAGACCUUAGAAGCAAGUUGAACUUGAGUUGAGAACAUAAGGUAAUGGAAACCUUACAAUUGAAUGAAAUGACCUAAAGUAGCAAAGUAAACGUAGAAUUAACAUAUCUACUAGUUGUUUAUGUAGUUGCAUAGUUGCAUAAUGUUCAUAUUGCAUUUGCGAGGCAAGGUAUGGUUUUAUUAAUUGCAUAGUCAAAUAUCUAUCUAUCUGUUUAUUAAACUAACCUGCAGUUGCCUCCUUGGAACUAUUGGUCGAACUCCUCCCUUGGGUGGCCGUACCCACUGGGAACCAUGGAGUUGGUUCUCACCCCACGUUGUUUUGGGGUGUUUCAGGUUCGCACGUGAGCGGCGCGACAGCGCGAGGAAAGGACGUAGCUCCAUAGAUAGUGCCCUACCCAGAGACCAGAGAUAGCAAUACCCCGUCGACAUAGCCUAGGGGUUUGGGAAAUUAAAAGAAUACAAUGUAUCAAUUUGUAAUAAGUAAAUGAUGUAAUAACUUAAUUGCAUUUGGGAGUUGGAUGUAAAGUAAAUGUAUUAUUGUGAAUGCAUGUAAUAACAUAGGAUGUGUUAUGUUAUGAUACUUUCCUCAUGCAAUUAUGAUUGAUAUCUAUUCCUGGUUGGAACCCUUGUAAUGUUCAUUGUAUUGAUUGCGACGCCUAGGACGUACAGGGGAAACUCUGUCCGUUCGGCGGUCUGUCGACGCGCCCGAACUCGGCCAAAUAGGUGGGGCUCAGGGCGUGACAGUUAAAGUGGUAUCAUAGCAUAAAGUAGAGAAUGGGCAAUGGUUUAGAUAGAACUAGGGGACCCUAGGAUAGUAAACCAUAGGAGAAUAAGGCUCGUGAGAGACGAGGACUUGUGACUUAUGCGAAAGGUUCAUUGAUUGGGUUGUGUUGAAACCUCUAUGACGGAUAUUAGAGGUAGACUCGAGGUGUGGUUUAUUCUCAACCGAGGGUGUCCAUGUUCGGUGCACACAACAUGAAACUGAGUGAUGAGAAUAGACGGCCUUGCGUGACUUUCGCCCGAUUUGAGUCAAUGUUAAAUUGUCUCGUGCUUGACCCAGAGGGUUGAGAAUUAAUUGAGUUGUCGUAUUUCAGGGAACGAUGGCACCGCGUAGACGACCUUCGUCUAGAUCGACUCGGGAUGGCACAGGUGAUGUCCCUGAGCAAUCCGAGGCGAGCGGAGACCAGGUGCUCCGCGAGCAGAUGAGUACGCUCAUGGGCGUAGUGUUGCGACAGGAGGAGCAGAUCAAGGAGCUCCAUGAGUUGUUGGCACGACAGACUGCAGCGGCUACGCCGGUAGCAGCACGCCGUGUACCGACAGGAGUGGCGAUGGAAUCAGGGGUAGUGGCCUCUGAUUCUGUAGAAAUGGAGGCGGAGAAAGAGCGGGCUUUGACGGCCCUAAUGACCUUCAAGAAGUUUGAUCCGCCUGUUUUCGAUGGAGAGAAUGUUGAUCCAUGGAUCGUGGAGAUGUGGAUUGACUCUAUGGAAACGCUCUUUGAGGAGCUGUACACCUUGGAGCGGGACAAGGUGCCCCUAGCUGUGCACUGUUUGAAGUUGUCGGCAAAAGUGUGGUGGAAAGGCAUUCGACGGAAUCGAUCACCUAGUCUCCCUCCUAUGGCAUGGGAUGAGUUUCGGGGAUUGGUGUUUUCAACUUACUUCCCCGACACUGAAAAGAGAAAGCUUCAGGACAGGUUCAGGAAGCUGCGGCAAGGAGACCGCUCAGUGAGAGAGUACGAACGAGAAUUCUCUCGUAUCGUGAAAUGUGUCCCAGAUGUGGUUCGGGAUGACAAGGAUAUGGCCGAUUGGUUCUUGCAUGGACUUCGACUGGAGAUUUACGAGAGGGUGCAAAUUCUUAGGCUCACGACCUUCACGGAGGUGUUGGAUCGAGCAUUGUUGGCAGAGCACGGUGAUGCUUUCGUGCGCGAGAAGCACGAGUCUUCUGAGCGUCAGUGGGGAGGGGUGAAGCCACUAUCGAGAGAUUCGGGUGGACAAUCAAGUUCCAGGCGCCACUCGAAGUCGUCCUCUAGCCGAUCCUCCCCAGGAUGCGUGAUUUGUGGUGGUUCCCACUGGGCUCGGCGGUGUGUGCUGCGCGAUGGUAGAUGCCUUCAUUGCGGGCAGCCGGGCCAUGUACGGGACGAGUGUCCACAAGGGUAUAAUCAGACCCUGAUACAGGCGACGGCCUUUUCCUCCCCAGGACAGCCUGCAGGUGUGCCACCUGCGGCAUGGUCGGAAGCGCGACCGUUGAGGAUGAUGCCACCGAGGGGCUCGCGGCGGGCAGCGGGUGACCGUGGAUACGCGACCCAGGUGGAGGAACCUACUACUGCUGACACUGUCAUGGCAGGUACGAGUUACUUAAGCAAGCAUAUGCUUCUACCUAAUAUUGGACUGUUGCAUAGCAUGCAUUUAUCAUAUGGUCAGCAGCUACUAUUUACAUAUUGCAUAGUAGGGACCGAGUGGUCGGGUAGGUGGACACCCGAGCAUGCUUGCGUCGUGAGAGUGUAGCGCCUGCUGGAGCAGGUAGAGAGCCAUGUAGUACUAACAAAUUGUUAGUGAUAGUUCCUGGACAAGAAAUGAGACUCGCAGUGAACGGGAAACGGUGAAGCGGCUCUCAAGGCAAUGAGAACCAGAUUGCGAGAGUUGCGCCGUGACGUUGAGGAUACCCUGGUAGUUCGAGCAUUUUGAAUAUGGUUCGGUAGAUCGAACAGUGAGAGUAGGAUCACUGUUGAGAAAAUAGCCAGAUAGUUAUCGAGCACGAGCAUGUGGGCCUAAUAACACCCUGAGUUGAGGUGGGCGAGUAGUGCUCGUGUAGUUGGUGUGCAUAGGCAGGUGGCCUACUGCUUGGCUUAGUUGAAACGCUAUAGAGGCGUAGAGCGCUCGAGUAUAGGUACUCGUAGAGCAUGUCGUGUAGGACGACGUUGGCGGGUAUUGCUUGGGGACGACCCGUGCCUGGACCAUUUGUGGACUGUGAAGCCUAGGCCCAUUGGGCAGGCGCAGUCAGCUGUGAGAGACAGCGGCCCUGUACCUAUAGAUAGGGCAGAGAGUUGGUCAGGACGGUAGUCCGAGCUUAGACCCGGGUGCGUGGAAUGCCACGUGUUGGAUCGUGAGAUCGAGGAUACACCUAGUGUGUUGUGACCCAACCCGAGGACUUGACGUGGUUUGGGGUCUUGGUUGCUCCUGUUUGGAGUGGGUGCGAAUUCCCAAGUGAGAAUUUUGCCCGAAAAUUGAGGAUUGGGUCUACGUUGCGAGCAGGAAAUGCUACGCAUAGUUGAGACACGUUAGGCGAUAGACCUACGUAGUGUUUGCGACCGUUGGUGUACCUGUGAAAGCCGACGUAAUCGGUUUAGCCAAUAACUCUGUGGAGGAGUUAGAGUAAGGAGAUGAAUUCUCAAAAUACGAGAGUUGAACUUCGCUCGAGAUCGACUAAUUGUCGAGUGGGAGAGCUUCGCGAAAGUCGAAGAAGUCAAAUGUACCAAAAGUGCAUUGCAAUGGAGUCCGCGAGAGCAAAUGGUGCAAGAAUCUGCACUUGGCAGAUUUGCUCUCGGGGACCGGUCCCUGGCGGGAGGGACCGGUUCCCGAAUGUGGUCUGCGCGAGCUUGCUCUCGGGGACCGGUCCCAGACAGGAAAGGACCGGUUGCCCCGAGGCUAAGGGUCGCGCAGCGCGGGGCAACCGGUCCCAGGUAAGGGAGAGACCGGUCCCCGAGUGUGGCAUUUGCCCAGGUAGGCUGGGUUAUGUUGGAGGAAUUGAGGAACUUGAGGAUAAUGCUCUAUUAUGGAUUCAGAAUCGAGAUGCGCCGGAGUAGGCCAUCUCUUGAUAGAGCAAAGAUCCAAAUAUGAUUUGAACACUCACGAUGAAGCGAUGCACAAUGAUAUUGCCUUCAAGCAAGAUUGGUAAUCGAAUUGUCAUACCCUGAGGGGAAAGUAAAUGCAAACAGAAGUUCUUGCAUGUCAAGUGGUGAAUGGUGUUGAAGCGCGUAGUGUUGUUGAGUUUCAACUUGCGCUACCACCAAGAAUGACGGAGACCCGUAAUGCACUUUUGGAAUUACACACGGCAAAUGUGAGUGAGUCUAGUCUCACGUCCUCCGUAGUGAGCCUUUGGAUAGUUCCAAUGAGCGAAAGGCCACUCCGAGAUGCAAAAGUGCAUUGUACCCCCUUGUCACUCAAUAAAGAGAAUUAGAGUGUGAAUUGGGUUGAAGUGAGUGAGUUUCGGGGCCGAAACUCUUAUUAAGGAGGGGAGGAUGUAAGGUACCGGACUUCUAAAACUGUGAAGUUACGGUGUGCAUUUAAAUGGUUCCGGUGAGGUUGCGGUGGAAUGUAACAUACCGGAUUUUAAAUAUAAAAAUGAAAAUAAAUAAAAAUAGUAUGAGAUACUAUUUUUAUUGGAUUUAGAGAAGUGAAAUAUAAGUUGGGAAUGACCUGUGCUGAAAUCAGAGCGAAAACAGAAGAUUUAGAAUUUUCUGUUGGAAACGGGGCAGAUAAAUUAGCAGAAAAUGCACAGUCUCAGAAAAUUAUGAAAAUUGGCAGAGAUGUCAGAAAUAUUUUUAUGAGGCUAGAUUUAAGGUUUCAUAUUUUUCUGACACCCGUAGAGAGAGAAAUAGAAUCCGAAAGCUAUCUGAUAAAGAUUGCAGUUCGGUACAGUUUUCAGUGACCAAACGGGGUCGAAACUGAAAUAUUAAAAUUUCUUUGGACUUAUUAAGUGAAACCGAACAUGCCUGUCAAAUUUGAGCGAAAACGGACAUCCGGAAGGGCUCCAACGAAAUUUAUCAGAUUUCAAGCUGCCCGAAGUGAAUAGUGCGUAGUUGAGGGGCAAAAUGGUAAAAAGGGUUUAAAACCCCUUUUCUUCUUCUCCUCCCAACCGUGGCUGCCCCAACCGCACACACCACACACGCAUACACAAGAACACACACGCAUGGAAAGGAAAGGAGAGAAAUCCCUUUCUCUCUCUAAAUCUCUCCCAAAAUGGAUGGAUUUGGUGGAGAUUGAAGCUUGGAGGUGGAUCGCCUUCGUCUUCUUCAUCUUCUCCAUGAUUUGGAGCUAAUUUUGAGGUAAGCUUUUGCUACCCUUUAAUGGUAGAUCCUUAAUGGUUGGUUUAAAUAGCUUAGAAAUGGAUUUAGAGGAAUCCUAGCAUGCUAUCUAGAUGAUUGAUGCUUAAUUCGUGAAGGGAUUUGAUGAUUUCUUGCAUAGUUGCAACCUGGGGCUCCAAAAUGUAAUUUUUGCUAAUAGAUGGGUUUGAUCUAUUUUGACCCUAUGUAAACCUAAUUGCUAGGUAACGAAACGCGUUGGCGAAGACGGUUCGGCAAUCCGACGAGCCGUUACAAAGUUAUUAAAGAAAUGGACGUUUAGGCUUCGUUUCCGCCUGGAGGGCCGAGGCGAUGUCGUAAAAUCAUGAAAACGGAUUUGAAGCACCGUGGCACAUAACCGAAGACCUUUAAUUUCCGGAUCGCAAAUCGGAGAUCGUUUGGGUGGUCGCGCGAGAGUUCGAGCCAAACCGGGUCGCGGGUGUCGCGGGCGGCCGAUUGCAAGUGACUACAAGCAAUCGGAGAGUAAGUUAAGGUGGGUUGUGCUUACCGAAGCGACUAGGUCGCCCUUAUGUCUAAGAAUAUUAAGAAUUCGUGUUGAUGCAUAUAAGUGUUAAACAAUGCAUGUUAAUGUGAAUGCUAAGUAGAAAUGCAUAGUGAGCAAGUUACAUAAUGCUAGUAAUGCAUGAUAAUAAUGUAAUGCUAGUAAUGCAUGAUAUGAUGUAAAUGCUAAAGUAGAUGCAUAUAAAAGAUUAUAUAUAUGCAUGUAAACUAGAAGGAUGCAUGUAAAUAUAAUGCAUAGAAUGAAAUGCAUGUUGAUGACAUAGUCUAGAAAUGCUAAAUGUAAUGUGCAUGUUAAUAUGAUAAGAAACCAUGCUAGUAAGUGAAUGCAUAUUAAUACAUAUGUGUAUAAUGAGCAUGUUGGAUAAGAUUCGUGUACAUGUAGACUCGAGAUGACAAUAGGAUGUCAAGUAGAUCGAGUGGCACCUAACCUAGUGUUAAAGAACAUAGGUUGUGAAUGAAUCUAGAGUCAUGUGAACUAGAUCGAGUGGCAUCUAACCUAGUGUAUAAAACAUAGGUUGGACAUGAAUGACAAUGAACCUAGUGUUGUUGAACCUAGGAUGAAUCAUGAGUGGCAUCUAACCUAGUGUUAAAGGACAUAGGUUAUGGAUUGAACCUAGAGUUAAGUAAACCUAGGUUAUGUGAUAGAGACGUUGAACCUAGAGUCAGUUGGACCUAGGGUGAAAAGGACGUUGGACCUAGAUAGGUCAAUGCUAUAGGGUUUGAAACCAACCCUUGAGUUAUGAAAUGGAUUCCGGAAUCCCUAGUGAUGUGGCCGCACAUGGAGCGGUGGAAAUUGUGGUAAAAGAGAUGGCAAGCGAAUCAUAACUGCAGGUAUGUGUGGUUCUCCUCGCCUGGCAGUGAUUCAACGGGUAUGUGUGGUUCUCCUCGCCCGGGAUGCCAUGAGAAUAAGCUGGAAUUGGGUAUGUGUGGUUCUCCUCGCCCAUUAGCUUAUCGGAUGAUGCCGCCUAGGUUGACUUGAACCAUUGUUGGGUGAGAGCGAUGUGGUCGCUGCCAGAUGACUAAGUUAUGACUUGAACCAUUGUUGGGUGAGGUGCGAUGAGUUCGCCGCCAGAUGGCUAAGUCAUGACUUGAGUUGUUGUUGGGUGAGAGCGAUGAGUUCGCCGCCAGAUGGUUAAGUCAGAUCUGCGGUAGGCUGCGACGGCAGCCAGGCUGAGGUGCAGCCAGUGCGCGGACUAUCCGCGGAUGAUUGACUCGAGGCCGAGUCGGGUGGUUAGCUUGAUUAGGUUAAUGGGAACCUUAUAAGCUAGUGAUCGAGGCAAGAACCUGAGGUAAUAGAGACCUUAGAAGCAAGUUGAACUUGAGUUGAGAACAUAAGGUAAUGGAAACCUUACAAUUGAAUGAAAUGACCUAAAGUAGCAAAGUAAAUGUAGAAUUAACAUAUCUACUAGUUGUUUAUGCAGUUGCAUAGUUGCAUAAUGUUCAUAUUGCAUUUGCGAGGCAAGGUAUGGUUUUAUUAAUUGCAUAGUCAAAUAUCUAUCUAUCUGUUUAUUAAACUAACCUGCAGUUGCCUCCUUGGACCUAUUGGUCGAGCUCCUCCCUUGGGUGGCCGUACCCACUGGGAACCAUGGAGUUGGUUCUCACCCCACGUUGUUUUGGGGUGUUUCAGGUUCGCACGUGAGCGGCGCGGCGGCGCGAGGAAAGGGCGUAGCUCCAUAGAUAGCGCCCUACCCAGAGACCAGAGAUAGCAAUACCCCGUCGACAUAGCCUAGGGGUUUGGAAAAUGAAAAGAAUACAAUGUAUCAAUUUGUAAUAAGUAAAUGAUGUAAUAACUUAAUUGCAUUUGAGAGUUGGAUGUAAAGUAAAUGUAUUAUUGUGAAUGCAUGUAAUAACAUAGGAUGUGUUAUGUUGUGAUACUUUCCUUAUGCAAUCAUGAUUGAUAUCUGUUCCUGGUUGGAACCCUUGUAAUGUUCAUUGUAUUGAUUGCGACGCCUAGGACGUACAGGGGAAACUCUGUCCGUUCGGCGGUCUGUCGACGCGCCCGAACUCGGCCAAAUAGGCGGGGCUCGGGGCGUGACAUCUUGUUGAUUGCUUAAUUAUACAAGUUGUUAGAGCCUUGGGCGGACAGGGAAGGCUCUGUUCGUCCGGCGUCUGUUGACGUGACCCGAACCCGACCAAAUUGGCGGGGAUUGGGGCGUGACAGCCGAUCUUCCUACUAGGUCCAAGCAGGCACAAGCAGAUAGAUAGAUAGAUAUGAAAUUGAAGUGCAACAUAGUAAGGUAAUAUGCAACAUUCUACUAUGCCUUCAAUAAUCAGAUGUAUGAGCAACUAUAUAGUAUGCAACCUUCUACAUGAUACCAUGCGUCAACUAUCAAAUGAAUGAGUUACAACAUAGUAUGUAAUCUACACAGCACAAAAGACAACUAUCAUGCUACUAUGUCAAGAAACUAUGUCACUUCUGCUAUCAUUCAAUCACACGACUCACCUAUUGAUGCCGCAUCUACUAAAUCUCAUAGGUGAGGAGCUGCUCACUCACCAGACUCACAAUCUAAUGUCAACGGGGAGGAUCCGCUCACUCGCCCAACUCACAAUCUAAGUGUUACAACUCAAUCUCAAUCUCAAUCUCACAGGUGAGGAUCUGCUCACUCACCCAACUCACAACCAAAUCUCAACGGGGAGGAUCUGCUCACUCGCCCGACUCACAAUCUAAGUAUCUCAACGGGGAGGAUCCGCUCACUCGCACGACUCACAAUCUAAUCUCAACGGGGAGGAUCUGCUCACUCACCCGAGACCGUCUGCGGGACCCCAUAAGGCUAUCCCUAUCGUGUGACAAACUCCGAAGUGCACGCUUGUGCGGAGCGGAGCGACCGCCUACAAGAUCUGAACAGACAUGUGAGUGUGAUCAAAUCCUCGUCAUAGAGGAUACCCUGCCACUACGGUCAACAUCCACUUGGGAACUGUUUCAUCCCUAAGUUUAACAUGCAACAAGUAUUUUCAUCUAUACACUACUUGUCAUGCCACUCGUCAAGUUGUCAACAUUGUCUAAAUGCCACUCGUUCUCUAGUCCUUGUCAACACAAGAUUAAGUUCAUCACUUAACUUUACCAUUGUAGGGUUCUAUGUCACAAUUCCCCUAUUCUCAUGCAUCCUAACUCAAGUGCCAAACUCAUGUUGCUACACUACUCAGGAUCAUGCCAGAAUGGGAAUGCGACUAUCCAAUACCCUAUCAUGCAUAGUACUAACACUAGUCCAAAUGUCACUCUUCUAGGCCAUUUACAUGUCCAAGUUUAUCUUUAUGCCACUAUGGGAUUCCAUGUCACAAGACCCAAUCCUUAUGAAUCCCUAGUCCAUGUGUCAAGCUCACAAUGCUACACUACUAAGAAGCAUGCAAGGAAAUGGAAAUGCAACUAUCUACACAUCCUAUAAUGCAUAAUGUUGAUAUAUGAUCAAUACAUUUAACUUAGACAUAAAAGGAAGCUCGGUUGAUUCGGGAUGGACACCCCCCACCUUUUAUCGCUAUCACGAGGCUAGGGUUCCGAUUUCGUGAUUUUUGGAAGCUUUCGCCGUGAGCUGCGGCAAUCUGUACUUUAACGGCUUCGUUCUUUAAUAUCUUCAUGUAGCCUCGUCGUAUCGCCGAACCGACUUCGCCAAUACGUCAGAAAACCUAGCAAUUAGGUUUAUACAUGAUCAAUUUAGAUCAAAACCCCUCACAAGCAAAACCCCUCUUUUGAUGCCCGAAGAUGCAACUAUGCAAGAAUUCAUCAUUUGAUCUCUAAAUUCGAGCAUCAACCAUCUAUUUAGCAUCUAGGAGUUUCACUAAACCCAUUUCUAAGGCAUACAAAUCAUUACUUAGCAAUCUACCAUUAUUGCUAUCGAAGCUUACCUCUCAAACCCAAGCUCACUCUUCAAGUGAUGAAGAGGAUAAAGACUUCACCUCAAAGCGACCUUGCAACCUUUUUCUUCUCCAAAUCCACCUCCAAUUCCUCUCUUUGGUGGAGAAAUUGCUAGAGAGAGAGAGAUCUUUCUCUUUGGUUGCAAGUGUGAGGGAGAAGGAAAGAAUGUGUGUGUGCGUAUGAUGCAUUCAGCCAAGCCACCUCCUCUAAUAGGUGCUGUAACAAUUGCACAAAAACCCCUCUCACCUAUUAGAAAUUACAUCUCCAGCUCAGUUUAGCAGUUCGGAACAGUCGGAGCCCUUCUGAAUGUCCGUUUGCGCUCAAACUUGACAGUCAGGCUCGGUUUAACCUACUGAGAAGAAAUAUAUCUUAACUUUUCAGUUUGGACCAUAUUUGGUCACCGAAAGCUCUACCGAACUGUAAUCUCUAACAGAUAGCAGUUCGAUUUUAUUUUCCACCUUCCGGGUGUCAGAAUGAGGUGAAACUUUAAUUCUAGCCUCACAAAAAUAAUUCUGACAUAUCCUCCAGUUUUCAUAAUUUUCUGACACUGUACAUUUUCUGCUAAUUUAUCUUUCCCGUCUCUCACAGAAAAUUCUAAAUCUUCUGUUUUUGCUCCGAUUUCAGCACAGGUCAUUUCCAACUUAUACUUUACACCCUUAAGUCCAAUAAAAACAGUAUCUCACACUAUUUUUAUUUAUAUUUAUUUUUAUAUUAAAAAUCCAGCAUACUACAUCCACCGUAACUUCAUAAAUUUUAGAAGUUCGGUACCUUACAAUUUCACUUAGGUUUAGUUUUCACUGAUGAGAACAUGGAGAAUGUUGUUGAUUUAUUUUUCUGUGUAGUUAAAAUGGCUAGUCGUCAGAUGUCUCUUAGUGUUCAUUGGGAUGGACAGUUAGAUAUGGAUAGGAAUGGUCCCCGAUAUUUCGGUGGUCGAAAGAAAUUGAUCGCGAUUCGUUCAGAUACGACCUAUGCGAAUUUUGAGAGGAGAAUGUAUCGUUUAGUAAAUUGUAAUAGAGAAGAAUGUUGUCUUAAAUACACAAUUCGAUGCCCUACGGGAGCAAAUGAAUAUAUUGCUCAUGAUAUAGUAGAUGAUGAAUCAUUGGAGGGAUUAAUUGGAUUGUUUGAACAUUAUGGAUGUGUGUCGCUAUACAUAGAGAAAAAUUUAUAUCCGUCAGAGACACAAUAUCAGUCGUAAGGCUAUUACACAAGCCUGCUACAUAAUGAUAUCAAUUUGGGAUUUUCGGAGAAUCCGAUUGGUGACCGUGAAGUUGGUAAUGAACCAGGCGUAAGAAUGACAAGGUCAGUAAUAUAUCUCAAGAUUGUGGUGAAUAUUUUUUUAAUUAUGAAAUUUUUUCAUACAUUAUAAUUAUGAAUACUGCAGACAGAGUCAGUCUCCACGUGCGCAACCCUCGACUUCACGUGCGCAACCCUCGAUGUCACAUGCACAACCCUUGACGUCACGUGUGCAACCCUCGACGUCGACGUCACGUGACGAACCCAGGAUAUUUCAUACACCUAAUGAAAAUUACGAUUGGGGGUAAAGAAAAUAUAUAUUAUUUAAUUAAUAGUAAGUAAAAUUUUACCUAAUAUAGUAAACAUUCGGGACCUAUUGCAGGCUAUCUACGUCCUAUACAAAUUGGAAUGAAGUUCUUGAUAAUAUUGUCGAUGAAAGAGAUGAUAAUGACGGUAAUCAGGACGAUGAACCCAUUCAUAACGAUGGUCAUCAGGAGGAUGCACCCAUUUAUGAUGACAACAAUCAGGAGGAUGCACCAAUUCAUGAGGACAACGAUUGGAAUGAUCUAGCUGUUGACAUUGAAGAUGAUUAGAUGGUGGAUUAAAUUACCUUGCGAAUGCCAUUUACAGUUUGAAUGACGACCCGCAUGUAAACAACGAUUAUGUAGACAAUCCUGACGAGGAACUUGAUUUUAUUGACCAUCCGGAGCAAUUUCCUAUGGAUAACAAUUGGAUACAAUAGUAUGUUGUGAAUUCGAGUGAGUUCGAUGUUAGACGUACUAAUUCCGAUCUACCUAGCAUUGACGGGACUUGGCUCCGUGAAAUCUUUAAUGAUAAGGUAUCUUUAGUGGACGCUCUAGAUCGAUCGCACAUUACUCACAAUAUUCAGAUGAAAGUUUUGAAAUCUACCAAAACAACUUAUACAGUGAAAUGCACAAUUGAGGGAUGUCCUUGGAGGUUACACCCUUCGGUUCCUAAAGAUGCAACAUAUUUCAGAGUUAAGACAUAUGCGGGUCAACACACUUGUGUUAUUCCAAUGCUAAAUGCUGCGCACCGUAAUUGUACUUCAAAUCUCAUAUGCCAAGUAAUUCUCCCGUUAAUGAAGGCAAGACUAAAUAUGAAGCCAAAAGAAGUGCAGGAAACGGUGCGAUCCACUUUGCAUGUUCAAAUAAAUUAUUGGAAGGCAUGGCUGGCAAGGAGCAAAGCAUUACAGAUUAUUUAAGGGAGCUGGGAGCAGUCAUACACAGACUUGCCUCGGUAUCUUACUAUGCUGCAGAGUACUAAUCAUGGAACUUUUUGGCGGUUUUGGCGGCUUGAUCAUAGAUGGCCAUCAGAGGGAAUAUGUCAGUUUGGCCGUGUUUUUUGGUCAUUUGCUCAUUCUUUUCAUGGAUUCGCACAUUGUCGGCCGGUGGUGAGCAUUGAUGCCGCUCACUUGUAUGGCAAAUACGAAGGCCAUGCAUUGAUAGCGACGGCUGUCGAUGCGAAUGAUAGCAUUUUUUUCCUAGCUUUUGCAAUUUGCGAAGGCGAAAAUGGUGGAAGUUGGCAUUGGUUUUUACAUAACUUGGAGCAUUAUGUUAUACGCAAUCGAUCGGUUUGUUUUAUAUCUGAUAGAUUUAGUGGCUUAAAGGAAAUAGUGGCUGAGUUAUAUCCUACUCGACAGGGGCAUGCACACCGGUGGUGUCUUCGACACAUGAAAGAAAAUAUGGCUAAGCGGUUUAAAAAUGAAUCAUUAUUAGACAAAUUCUAUAGUAUCGUGUAAUACACUGAACUUUUGCAAAUUGCGGAGUUUGAGUGUGUGGUAUGAGUUGUGAAACUAUUCUACAUGUUCUAAAAGGCUUGGACAAGUUUUUGGACAAGUUAGAGAGUGAUCGGAUUGCCGGAGACAAGAAAGUGCAUUGCUUCUGCGCAUUGGGCAGAUUUUUGCAUUGUGUACCGGUACAGGCAUUAUGUUGUUCCGGUACAGCAAGCAGCAGCAAGCAGCAGCUGCGUGGGAGCAGGGUUUUUUGGUCUUUUGGGCACUUGAUCUUAUCUCCAUGACUCCAGCUCGACCCAUGGUGUUCAAUGGAAGUUGCUAGAGUCCUGAGAAGUAGCUUUGCACCUUCCCCUCUUUCUCUCUUUAGGGUUUCUCUCUCUUCGAUUGGAGAUCGCCGAAUCGAGCUUAUUUCUUGCCGCGUUCGUCGCUCGCUGGUUUGGAAACGUAAGGGAGGUCUUUGGGUCGUGGGGAGAAGUAUCUAUACUGAGUUUUCUAUGAGGUUUUCACCAGGGAAAGCUGAUUCUCAGCUUUGAAGAGGUAAUUAGCUUAACUUCUCUCUUGAUUGUGGCUUCGUAUUAGAAUUUAGGUUGAUUGGAUUUUCCUGCUUCCAACUGAUGUAGAGGCUGUUUUCAGUAGUAAAGAGGAGUUAUUUUGGCUAUGAAUUAUCAGUGAAAACUUGCUUUAAGGCUGGACUAAGGUUAAUUAGUUAUUAUGAAGCUAUUUGGAAGCUAUUUGCAACCUACUUGAGUAACUCAACGCAGUUGGAAGGAUGCCUUCGCAGCAGGUUUGCGAACUACUUUGAGCUGAAUCUGUGCUCUUAGAAGUUGGUUUGGAGGAUAUUUUAACCAGGGGUAAGCAGGAAUUUCAGUUAGAAAGAUGAAUUUACUAGAUUUCAGCUAUUUUAAUGCGUAUACUAGCAUUUUGAUGCCAUUUUGAUGUUGUUCGCAGCGAGACUACGAUCGAGCCUUGGAUUGUGUUCGGCUGAGUUGUGAGGACUCUUAGAGGUUACCUUUGAGGUACUAAUGUAACCCAAACCAGGAAUUCAAGUUACUACCUUAUUCUACUUAAGAGUUUUGCCGAAAUUGGAUUCUUAACAAAUCUUCUCGACGCGGUUUUGAUGCAUUGUCAGCAGGGUUGAAGUCUAGUAGAGCUGAAUUUCGAGACGUCGUGGAACUGAUUUGAGCAUAGUAAUAGGUGGGUUUGACCUAACCAGAGCAAGUGAAGCUCCCCUAUGUUCUAUAUGUACCUAUAGAAUUAUCGCUGAGGUGCAUUUAGUGAUUAUGUGAUUGAUAGAGAACUUGGACCAUGGCACUGUAAUGUUCGAUGCUUAAGUAGAAUGAAAUCUCUAUAAAGUAGAGAACGAAUAUACAUGAAAGUAUUUAUAUUUAUAUUCAAUUCAGUUGAAUAACUUAUGAACAAGUGUAGGAUGCACUUAUAAAGUAGAGAACAAUAACAUUCUCACAAUGACAUUCUUUUGAUUCUACAGUAGAGAACUAUAACAUGCUUUGUGACUAUAUUGGUAGUGCCAGGAUAGUGAAAAGAUUCUAAUGCCAGGUGUAAAUGAGCAUUACUCUUGCAUGCUUACUAAACUAGUGGAUUCUAGUUGUUGUUACUAUUCUUUAUAUUGAAAUUUCUGAUCGAGAAUCGAGACUGAGAACAUUACAAAUGAAAACAUGAUAAUUGAGACAUGUUGGACUAUGGACUUUGCUUGCUUGCCUUCGUGCUCAUUCGCACACGCUUGUGAGGGUCGCUCCCUACAAGCCGGCACUCCGGAGUUGGCCUACGCGACAGUUGCUCGCCCGUGCGGGAUUGGGUGCCGAAGUGGAUUGCCGUGGGGAGUGUACACUACCAUGGGGCCAUUAGGCGCGGCGCAAGCUGGACUACCUUGAGUAGAUUCCUGUGAAUGAAAGAAAAGUAGUAAAGGAAAUUUGACAGUAAUGAAUGAUUACCAGUUACAGUGUACAGUAGUCACUUACACAUUUAUGCUUAUGUUCAUGCUUAUAAGCUUCUAUUAUUCAGUUGAUUCAUUACUGUUGAGACUAUGAUUAUAUGUUGCUUACAUGCUCAUUACCUGUUCGCAUUGCAUAAUUAUAUACCACGCAAUUACUGCUUUCGCUUUCAUUUAGUACAUCAUGAGCCUAGUGGUGUAAUUCGCCGAGGCUGGCGGCUUGCCCACUGGGAACUAUUGUUUAUAGUUCUCACGCCCUUUUGGUGGUUGUUUUUACAGAGCCAUCUACAGGAGACGCUAGGGAUCGUGGCAAGGGAGUCGCAUCUAGCUAGACAUUGCUAGGAGCAUGCUAGUCGAUCACCAUGCUACUCGGGCUUCGACCGAGGGUGAUGUCCCUAUGUAUAGAGAGACCACCAUUGUACCUAUUCUUUUUUGUAUACCCUGUGAUGUAUAUUUACUGUUGAAUCAGAUAUUAUAGUUGUGAUACUUGCUCUUUUAGUCGAGAUUUUGGAUUGUACACUCUUUGCUCUUUUGCUGAUAGUAUAUCGACUUGUACUUUGCUCUGAUAUCAGGAUAGGACUUUCUUUGUUUUUACUCCUAUUGACUUGUUUCUGGUAGACGCCUUAUAUACUGUAGGUGUAUGGCAGGUCUGUGCACGUAUCGGAUAUGCUUCCGCUGAUACCCGGGCGUGACAGAUUAUAGUAGUAUCAGAGGCUAGGGUUGAGUCUUAGUAGACCUAGCAAACCUUAUGCUGGUUGGACUAUAAGAAUAGGCUCGUGAGAGACGAGGUCUAGUUGAGGUUGUGGUUAGCGAAAGUACUUUGAUUGGGUAAAGUAUAAACUCCGAAUGGUAGGAGUUUGAUCGGAAUGUGCAAUUACUAACCUUGCAGAGGGUCACGUUGGCGGCCGACAACGUGACAUCGGAAGUUAGUACGCGUUACAUUUCAUUUCUUUCGCUUUAUUAGUUGGUUUAUAUCCUCAAUGAGGGUUCAGUAGUAUAGGUUUUAUUAAUCUAUAUUUGUUUUGUGCUACAGCUCAAGAUGCCUUUGACUCGUUCGCAAGCUGCCGGGGCAGCUGAGGCGGCGAAUUCGGAGGAAGUGGGACCUCCGUUACUUCUGGAGCUAGUGGGAUCCAUGAGUUGCAGGAUCAGCUUGCGAGCUGACGGAUUUGGUUGCUCAGAAGGUUGCGGCAGCCCGACAGCAGAUGGAUACCGCGCGUCGGCAGGAGGACAGAAUGAAGAGGUUAGAGGUUUACUACUGCAGCAGACGACCGAUAGAGAGAUUCCUGAUCCUAUACCUACAGUGCCAGACAGGGAUGCGACAGUGAGAGCACAGUCACCAGUACUUGAUACACCCCCAGUUGCUUCGAGGGCAGAGACCUGACAGGAGACAAUAGUACCACCAUCAGUACCUGUAGCGGCAUCAAGGACAGUGUUACCCGAGAUGGUGGGGGCUGAGGAGCGAGAGCGGAUGAUGGAACAAUUGAAUGAAUUCCGUCGUUGCAACCCUCGUAUUUUUGACGGAGAAAAAGCUGAUCAUUGGGUGGUCGAGAAAUGGCUGAUGCACAUGGAGAAACUAUUUUAUGAUACUUUCGUCGAGGAGCGAUAUCGGGUUUGGUUUGCGACACACCACCUCGAUGGCGAGGCUUACAGGUGGUGGGUGGAUAUUCGUGAAGAUCCUCGUACUGAUUUGUCCGCUAUUACCUGGACGAGGUUCAAGGAAUUACUGUUCACUACAUAUUUUCCGCAGAGUGUAAAGAGACAAAUGGAAAGGGAUUUGAGAAACCUGAGACAGGGGGACAGGACGGUGGCUGAGUAUGAGCGAGAGUUCUCCCGAUUGCUGCAUUGUGUUCCUUUUGUGGUCAGAGAUGAUGAGGACAAGGCUCGGAUUUUUUAGGCAGGUUUGCGGCCUGCAAUUUUUAGAUUAGUCCAGGCGUCAAACCUAUCGACUUAUAGAGAGGUGGUAAACCGGGCUUUGAUUGUAGAAAAGGGGGCAAAAAUUAUGAAGGAAAGAGAUAUGGUGGAUCGGAGUAAAGAAAAGAGGCCAGCGGCUGAGAGCAGUGGUCAGCAAUCCUUCAGGAGACAACCAAAGUAUCCGAGAGGCCAAUCGGGCCAGUCGAGAGGUCGAGGUUCUUUAGCACGCCGUGGAGCACCCGAGCGUCGUCCACAGCUGCGUUGUGUUAUCUGUGGUGGGCCUCACGUACCGCCACAGUGUCCACAGCGUGGGGGCAGGUGCUUUCUUUGCGGCCAGGAGGGCCACUUUCGUUCAGAGUGCCCGAGAGGUUCUUUGCCUGCACCCUCGUCAGCGUGUGCACCUGCAUCUUCAGCUUCGAGCCAGGGGACCCCGACAGUACCCUAUCAGUCUAGGUGACCAGGAUAGCGGCAGUCGGAGAGUUCGUAGCAGGGUUCGAGUAGGCGGAUGUAUGCCGCCCAGACUGAGGGCGCUGCAGCAGCACAGGAGGUUGUAGCAGGUAUUAUUUUGAUUCAUGAUGUUCGUGUUCGUGCAUUAUUUGAUACUGGUGCAUCACAUUCCUUUAUUGAUCGGCUGUUUGUCGAGUUGCAUAGCAUACAGUUAGUACCUACCCUGCAUCCGGGACGAGUGAUCGUGCCCUACCAUACCCUGGGUAUUUGUGAGUAUUGCCCUCGCUGCCCAGUUAGGGUAGGCGAUUGAAUUAUGCCAGUGGAUUUACUAGCACUACACAAACUAGGUAAGUUUGAUGUAGUAUUGGGUAUGGAUUGGUUGACACAGUACUAUGGCACUAUUGAUUGCACGAACAGAACGGUGACCUUUAGGGAACCGGGUCAACAAGAGUUUGUUUAUAAAGGGUGUCCGAGUUCAUUGUUCGCAAUGACUAUUAGCUCUUCGCGAGCCCGACAGUUAAUUCGGAGAGGUUGUGUAGCCUAUUUGGCUAGUAUUUCUGUAAGUGAUGGUGAAGCCAUCAAGAUUGAUGAUAUUCCAGUUGUGCGGGAGUUCGGGGAUGUAUUUCCAGCUGAGUUGCCGGGUAUGCCACCUGAUAGGGAGAUUGAGUUUGUGAUAGAUCUUAUCCCUGGGACUGCCCCUAUCUCGAAAGCACCCUAUAGGAUGGCACCCGCUGAAUUGAAAGAGCUGAAGGCACAGUUACAAGAUCUUUUAGAUAAAGGAUUUAUUCGACCGAGUGUAUCGCCCUGGGGAGCACCGGUGUUAUUUGUCAAGAAGAAGGAUGGAUCUCUUCGAUUGUGCGUGGAUUAUUGAGAAAUCAACAAAGUCACAAUCAAGAAUAAAUAUCCAUUGCCCAGAAUUGAUGACUUAUUCGAUCAACUACAAGGAUCGAAAGUAUACUCCAAGAUUGAUUUGCAAUUAGGUUAUCAUCAGCUUAAGAUCAAGCCUUAAGAUGUUUCUAAGACCGCUUUUAGGACACGGUAUGGGCAUUAUGAAUUUACAGUGAUGCCCUUCGGACUGACAAAUGCCCCAGCAGCCUUUAUGGAUUUAAUGAACCGUGUCUUUAAACCCUUUUUAGACAAGUUUGUGGUAGUGUUUAUUGAUGACAUCUUGAUAUAUUCUCGAAGUGACGAAGAGCAUGAAAACCAUUUGAGGGUGGUGUUACAAGUAUUUCGAGAAAAGGAACUAUUUGCAAAAUUAAAGAAAUGCGAAUUUUGGCUCCGGAAAGUAGCAUUUCUGGGUCAUGUCAUUUCAGAGGUUGGGAUAGCUGUGGAUCCAAAGAAGAUUGAAGCGAUUAAAGAUUGGCCGAGGCCGACAAAUGCUACAGAGAUUAGGAGUUUCCUGGGCUUGGCAGGAUACUACCGCAGAUUUGUUGAAGGAUUUGCAAAAAUGUCUACGCCUCUCACACGAUUGACACAUAAAGGAGCUAAGUUUUUGUGGAAUGAAGCCUGCGAAAGAAGCUUUCAAGAGCUAAAGGAACGGUUGACUACCGCCCCGAUCUUAGCGCUACCUGUUACGGGAGAGGAUUAUAUGAUUUACAGCGAUGCGUCGCUGAACGAAUUAGGGUGUGUUCUAAUGCAGAAUGGCAGAGUAAUUGCUUAUGCUUCUCGCCAAUUAAAGGAUUAUGAAAAGAACUACCGUACACAUGAUCUUGAGUUAGCAGCUGUGGUAUUUGCUUUAAAGCUUUGGCGCCACUACCUCUACGGCGAGCGUUGCGAAGUGUACACAGAUCAUGAAAGCUUAAAGUAUCUGUUCACGCAGAAGGAAUUAAACUUGAGACAACGUAGAUGGUUGGAAUUGCUCAAGGAUUAUGAUUUGACCAUCCUCUAUCAUCUAGAAAAGCUAAUGUCGUAGCAGAUGCUUUAAGUCGAAAAUCGACGGAAAAUUUGGCAAUGUCGAUGACUAUGCAACCCCUAUUGGUAAAGGAAAUGGAGCAAUUGAAAUUGGAAGUUGUAGCUCCUGAUACGCCUUGGAGACUUAUGUCAUUAGUGGUGCAACCUACCCUGAUUGAUCGAAUUAAAGAAAAGCAAGCUCAAGAUGAGUUCCUGCAAAAGAUUCGAGCAAAGAUCACUGUUGAUCCAAUUAGCGAUUUUCGAGCGGAUGAUCAGGGAUUGCUAAAAUUCGGUGAUAGAAUUUGUGUGCCUGCCGAUCCAGAUAUUAAAGAGGAGAUUUUAAAGGAAGCACAUCGGGCACCGUAUACUUUACACCCUGGGAGUACAAAAAUGUAUAAAGACCUGAAAUCAAUUUACUGGUGGCCAGGAAUGAAAAAGGAAGCUGCUGAUUUUGUGGCCAAAUGCUUAACCUGUAAGCAGGUUAAGGCUGAACAUCGACUUCCUGCAGGGAAACUGCAAGGUUUACCCAUACCAGUGUGGAAGUGGGACAGAAUCACUAUGGAUUUCAUUGUUGGAUUACCUCGCUCACAAGCAGGUUACGAUGCCAUUUGGGUAAUUGUGGAUAGAUUAACCAAAUCUGCCCACUUUAUCCCAAUCCAUACAGUCUGGUCAGGGGAGAGACUCGCACAAGUGUACCUUGAUGAAAUUGUGCGAUUACACAGAGUACCAACUUCUAUUGUUUCAGAUCGAGACACCCGAUUUGUUUCACAUUUCUAGAGAAGUUUAUAGGAGGCCAUGGGUACCCGAUUGGAUUUUAGUACUGCUUUCCACCCCCAGAGUGAUGGGUAGUCCGAGCGUACUAUCCAGACCCUUGAGGAUAUGUUGAGAGCCUGUGUGAUUGAUUACCAGGGCAGUUGGCCACAGUUCCUGCCGAUGGCUGAAUUUGCUUAUAACAAUAGUUAUCAAGCAAGCAUUCAGAUGGCACCUUUUGAAGCCCUUUAUGGUAGAAAGUGCAGAUCACUGCUUCAUUGGAGCGAAGUGGGAGAAAGAUUAGUUUUGGGUCCAGAUGUACUGCAAGAAGCUGAAGCUAAAGUUCGACUGGCACGAGAACAUCUACUGACAGCUCAAAGUCGACAAAGGAGCUAUGCGGAUAAACGUCGAUGAGAACUGGAAUUUUGAGUUGGCGAUCAUGUAUUUCUGAAAGUUUCACCGUCAAAGGGGGUUAAGAGAUUUGGUAUUCGAGGGAAGUUGAGUCCUCGAUUUAUUGGACCCUACGAGGUAUUGGAACGGAUAGGCACCAUAGCGUAUCGGCUUGCUUUGCCGCCGAACUUAUCGGGAGUACAUAAUGUAUUUCAUGUAUCUACACUACGGAAGUAUGUUUUUGAUCCGACCCAUAUAUUGGAAAGUACUCCAGUGGAUUUACGAGAAGAUUUGAGCUUUGAGGAGCAUCCAGUGAGAAUACUAGCUCGAGAGGUGAAACGGCUUCGAAACCGCGAGAUACCGUAUGUGAAGAUACUUUGGAGCAAUCAUAAUGAACGAGAAGCCACUUGGGAAUUGGAAAGUGCGAUGUUAGAGCACUACCCCUAUCUUUUCUCGACGGAAUCUUGAGGUAAGUGAUUACAAGUUUCGCGGACGAAACUUCUUUUUAGGAGGGGUGAAUAUAAUACACUGAACUUUUGCAAAUUGCGGAGUUCGAGUGUAAGGUAUGAGUUGUGAAACUAUUCUACAUGUUCUAAAAGGCUUGGACAAAUUUUUGGACAAGUUAGAGAGUGAUCGGAUUGCCGGAGACAAGAAAGUGCAUUGCUCCUGCGCAUUGGGCAGAUUUUUGCAUUGUGUACCGGUACAGGCAUUAUGCUGUACCGGAACAGCAAGCAGCAGCAUCAGCAGCUGCAUGGCAGCAGGGUUUUUUGGUCUUUUGGGCACUUGAUCUUAUCUCCAUGACUCCAGCUCAACCCCUGGUGUUCAAUGGAAGUUGCUAGAGUCCUGAGAAGCAGCUUUGCACCUUCCCCUCUUUCUCUCUCUAGGGUUUCUCUCUCUUCGAUUGGAGAUCGCCGAAUCGAGCUUAUUUCUUGCCGCGUUCGUCGCUCGCUGGUUUGGAAACGUAAGGGAGGUCUUUGGGUCGUGGGGAGAAGUAUCUUUACUGAGUUUUCUAUGAGGUUUUCACCAGGGAAAGCUGAUUCUCAGCUUUGAAGAGGUAAUUAGCUUAACUUCUCUCUUGAUUGUGGCUUCGUAUUGGAAUUUAGGUUGAUUGGAUUUUCCUGCUUCCAACUGAUGUAGAGGCUGUUUUCAGUAGUAAAGAGGAGUUAUUUUGGCUAUGAAUUAUCAGUGAAAAGUUGCUUUAAAGCUGGACUAAGGUAAAUUAGUUAUUAUGAAGCUAUUUCGAAGCUAUUUGCAACCUACUUGAGUAACUCAACGCAGUUUGGAAGGAUGUCUUCGCAGCAGGUUUGCGAACUACUUUGAGCUGAACCUGUGCUCUUAGAAGUUGGUUUGGAGGAUAUUUUAACCAGGGGUAAGCAGGAAUUUCAGUUAGAAAACUGAAUUCACUAGAUUUCGGCUAUUUUAAUGCGUAUACUAGCAUUUUGAUGCCAUUUUGAUGUUGUUCGCAGCGAGACUACGAUCGAGCCUUGGAUUGUGUUCGGCUGAGUUGUGAAGACUCUUAGAGGUUACCUUUGAGGUACUAAUGUAACCCAAACCAGGAAUUCAAGUUACUACCUUAUUCUACUUAAGAGUUUUGCCGAAAUUGGAUUCUUAACUAAUCUUCUCGACGCGGUUUUGAUGCAUUGUUUUCAGCAGGGUUGAAGUCUAGUAGAGCUGAAUUUCGAGACGUCGUGGAACUGAUUUGAGCCUAGUAAUAGGUGGGUUUGACCUAACCAGAGCAAGUGAAGCUCCCCUAUGUUCUAUAUGUACCUAUAGAAUUAUCGCUGAGGUGCAUUUAGUGAUUAUGUGAGUGAUAGAGAACUUGGACCAUGGCACUGUAAUGUUCGAUGCUUAAGUAGAAUGAAAUCUCUAUAAAGUAGAGAACGAAUAUACAUGAAAGUAUUUAUAUUUAUAUUCAAUUCAGUUGAAUAACUUAUGAACAAGUGUAGGAUGCACUUAUAAAGUAGAGAACAAAAACAUUCUCACAAUGACAUUCUUUUGACUCUAAAGUAGAGAACUAUGACAUGCUUUGUGACUAUAUUGGUAGUGCCAGGAUAGUGAAAAGAUUCUAAUGCCAGGUGUAAAUGAGCAUUACUCUUGCAUGCUUACUAAACUAGUGGAUUCUAGUUGUUGUUACUAUUUGUUAUAUUGAAAUUUCCGAUCGAGAAUCGAGACUGAGAACAUUACAAAUGAAAACAUGAUAAUUGAGACAUGUUGGACUAUGGACUUUGCUUGCUUGCCUUCGUGCUCAUUCGCACACGCUUGUGAGGGUCGCUCCCUACAAGCCGGCACUCCGGAGUUGGCCUACGCGACAGUUGCUCGCCCGUGCGGGAUUGGGUGCCGAAGUGGAUUGCCGUGGGGAGUGUACACUACCACGGGGCCAUUAGGCGCGGCGCAAGCUGGACUACCUUGAGUAGAUCCCUGUGAAUGAAAGAAAAGUGGUAAAGGAAAUUGGACAGUAAUGAAUGAUUACCAGUUACAGUGUACAGUAGUCACUUACACAUUUAUGCUUACGUUCAUGCUUAUAAGCUUCUAUUAUUCAGUUGAUUCAUUACUGUUAAGACUAUGAUUACAUGUUGCUUAUGUCACGCCCCGGGACCGAGCGGAAGCCCCCCCGGCACGUGCCCAGACCCGCCAUACGUCUAAAACGUAUAAGGCGUCUAAAAACAACAAUAAUAAAAGCAAUAAUACAAGACAUCUAGGAGUAUCAGAGCAUAAUAAAUGUCAAGAUGCUACAACAAGGGAUAAGGAUAAAAUUGUAAAUCCACUAAAUAAAACAUAAAGUGAUACAAGAAAAUCCCAGAUACAAGUGCUAUAGGUAGAUACAUAGGUGGUCUCUAUACAUGGAUACAAAACCUCUCACUCUCUCAACUACAAAAGAAAGAGUAACCACCCCGGCAAAGUACCGCUCCUCGCUAGCUAGCUAAGCGAUCCCCUUGCCGCGAUCCCGUGUCUCCGCCGGUGCCGAAGGCUCUGAAAAAGGAAACCAUAAAACAGGGGCGUGAGAACUAUUAAAAAUAGUUCCCAGUGGGCAAUUACUGACUUCAGUGAAUGCACCACAAGGCCCAGAGCUACAAAAGAUGUCAGUGGCUAUAAAUGUAGAAAACCGAAAGGUAAGUAAAAAUGUAACUUACUACAACAUGAUAUCUCUACUUAGCAUAAUUAGCCUAAGUAUGAAGCAACUAUGCAUGAAGUAAAAGUCUCCAACUAUCAUAAUGUUCACAAUGCGAAAUAAUAAAGUUCCGUUUUUUACUAUUCUUGUCAAUGUCCAAGUAAUACUCUAAGUCAUCAUCUGUCCACAUGUCAUAAUGAAUACCCAAGUCAAAUCUGAAGAGACCCACCCGAAGGCUGUCUAUGGCCCUGAGACCCACCCGUAGGCUGUCUGGCCAGUGCCGAGCCUAAUGGCCCCGUGGUAGUCAUCAUCCCCACCCUAGGAAUGAGCCUGGCCCACGGCAAUCCACUUCAGCGCCGAAUCCCGCACGGCGAAUAUGAAUCGUGAUGGCUAUCACCGGAGUGCCGGCUUGUAGGGAGCGACCCUCACAAGCAUGUGCGAAUGAGCACAAUGGCAAGUAGGCAAACGAUCUGUCACGAGUACCAAGUCCUCAUGUCUAAUAACAUGGAAUGUGUCAAGUAUCUCAACGGCCUAUCCCUAUGUCAUCAUGUCUCUAACAUGGAAUGUAGCGGAUAAUAGUGGCCUAUCAAUAUGUCUCUACGUUGCAAUUUCAUAGUUUACUAGUUUCAAGUGCCCCUUUAUGACACUCUUGUUCUCUAUGUCAAAGCAUGGCAACUAUGUUCCAAAGUACAUAUUCCAAGUCAUAAUCCUCAUAAGAGAUGUAUUUUCCACUCGC